This is a non-coding RNA of Acanthosepion pharaonis, 112 nucleotides long. Lineage: Eukaryota; Metazoa; Mollusca; Cephalopoda; Sepiida; Sepiidae. The record is from the annotation of a GenBank genome assembly.
UACGGCCAAGUCACGUUGAAACACCAGUCCUCGUACGAUCACCGAAGUAAAGCAAUAUCAAGCCUAGACAAUACCUAGAUGGGUGACAUCUUGGGAAUACCAGGUGCUGUAA